GAUGAACGCUAGCGAAAUGCCUAACACAUGCAAGUCGAACGGACCUUGCGUCGUAGCAAUACGUAGUAAGGUUAGUGGCAAACGAGCGAGUAACGCGUGCUUAACCUGCCCCGAAGUUGGGUAUAACUACAGAGAUGUAGCUAAUUCCCAAUAUGCUCACGAUGGUGAAAUCCCAAUGGGAGGAAAGAUUUAUCGCUUCGGAGGGGGGUGCGUCCUAUCAGAUAGUUGGUGAGGUAACGGCUUACCAAGUCUAUGACGGGUAACCGGUCUGAGAUGAUGUCCGGUCGCGAUGGGACUGAGAUACGGCCCAUACUCC
Molecule: ribosomal RNA, 316 nt
Filed under: uncultured bacterium
Lineage: Bacteria
Description: bacterial SSU rRNA
Rfam family: Bacterial small subunit ribosomal RNA
Source: RNAcentral